RNAcentral lists this ribosomal RNA (457 nucleotides) under uncultured bacterium. RNAcentral's name for it is "partial 16S ribosomal RNA". It matches the Rfam family "Bacterial small subunit ribosomal RNA", at positions 338 to 795 of the family's 1533-position model. The record is from RNAcentral.
CCUACGGGUGGCAGCAGUGGGGAAUAUUUCACAAUGGGGGAAACCCUGAUGCUGCGACGCCGCGUGAGUGAAGGAGUAUUUCGGUAUGUAAAGCUCUAUCAGCAGGGAAGCAACCCACCCUCCGAGGUGGCUGACGGUACCUGACUAAGAAGCCCCGGCUAACUACGUGCCAGCUGCCGCGGUACUACGUAGGGUGCAAGCGUUAUCCGGGUGUACUGGGUGUAAAGGGAGCGUAGGUGGCAAGGCAAGUCAGAUGUGAAACCCCGGGGCCCAACCCCUGGAGUGCAUAUGAUACUGUAUGGCUAGAGUGAAGGAGAGGUAAGCGGAAUUCCUGGUGUAGCAGUGAAAUGCAGAGAUAUUAGGAGGAACACCAGUGGCGAAGGCGGCUUACUGGACUGUAACUGACACUGAGGCUCGAAGGCGUGGGGAGCGAACAGGAUUAGAUACCCUUGUAGUC